GCCUUCGCCGACAACUCGUCCUCGAUCGUAGGCCCAAAGCAAACAGUGCUGUCACCCGAGUACGCCACGAACAAGUCGAUUGCUGCUGGUGGUC
Molecule: non-coding RNA, 94 nt
Filed under: uncultured Geminigera
Lineage: Eukaryota; Cryptophyceae; Pyrenomonadales; Geminigeraceae
Source: RNAcentral